AAGGAUCAUUAACGAAUAACUAUGGUGUCUUGGUUGUAGCUGGCUCCUCGGAGCAUUGUGCACGCCCGCCAUUUUUAUCUUUCCACCUGUGCACCGACUGUAGGUCUGGAUACCUCUCGCCCUUCACGGGGCGGAUGCGAGGAUUGCUCGUAAGGGCUCUCCUCGAAUUUCCAGGCUCUACGUCUUUUUACACACCCCAAUAGUAUGAUGUAGAAUGUAGUCAAUGGGCUUCUUAGCCUAUAAAACACUAUACAACUUUCAGCAACGGAUCUCUUGGCUCUC
RNAcentral lists this unclassified non-coding RNA (282 nucleotides) under uncultured fungus. RNAcentral's name for it is "partial contains 18S rRNA, ITS1, 5.8S rRNA, ITS2 and 28S rRNA". The record is from RNAcentral. Lineage: Eukaryota; Fungi.